Pterocles gutturalis (yellow-throated sandgrouse) is the source of this 53-nucleotide non-coding RNA. The record is from Rfam. Lineage: Eukaryota; Metazoa; Chordata; Aves; Pterocliformes; Pteroclidae.
UCAAAGGCUUUUUUGCAAGCAAAAAGCCACAAAGUAAACACAUGAAAAAAAAA